CCUACGGGAGGCAGCAGUGGGGAAUAUUGGGCAAUGGGCGCAAGCCUGACCCAGCAAAGCCGCGUGAAGGAAGAAGGCUUUCGGGUUGUAAACUUCUUUUGACAGGGAAGAGCAGAAGACGGUACCUGUCGCCUAAGCCACGGCUCACUACGUGCCAGCAGCCGCGGUAAUACGUAGGUGGCAAGCGUUGUCCGGAUUUACUAGGGGUAAAGGGCGUGUAGCCGGGCUGACAAGUCAGAUGUGAAAUCCGGGGGCUCAACCCCCGAACUGCAUUUGAAACUGUUGGUCUUGAGUAUCGGAGAGGCAGGCGGAAUUCCUAGUGUAGCGGUGAAAUGCGUAGAUAUUAGGAGGAACACCAGUGGCGAAGGCGGCCUGCUGGACGACAACUGACGGUGAGGCCCGAAAGCGUGGGGAGCAAACAGGAUUAGAUACCCCAGUAGUC
RNAcentral lists this ribosomal RNA (442 nucleotides) under uncultured bacterium. RNAcentral's name for it is "partial 16S ribosomal RNA". It matches the Rfam family "Bacterial small subunit ribosomal RNA", at positions 338 to 795 of the family's 1533-position model. The record is from RNAcentral.